CAGAGUCGGCGGGAAGAGGCAGUGGACCCACCCAGGGCGUGAAGAUGCUUCUCAGAGUGAGGCCUGGGAAGCAGCUUUUGGCCCCAGGGCCAAGCAGUAGGAACUGACAAAGCACAGAGAGUCCACCUGUGUGCAUAGCCGAGCUGCAAACUCAAGGUUGUCACAUGAGAACCCUACCCACUGCCUCAAGGGAGAAAACGGCUUGGCUCUAGGAGUCAGGCCUGCGGUGGGGCCCAGGCAGCCCUCACUGGCUGAGACCCUUGCAGUGUUCUCGAUGCUCAAGCCUUGUCCGCUUCCCUCGGGGCAGGGUAUUACCUCGGCAGUUGGUGUUUGCGGCCGGGUGAAUCUGUGCACCGGGCUGCUCUGUGCGUUGUGGGAGGUUGAGCAGCAUCCUUGGCCCCAACGAUGGAUGGCAGUCCCUCCCACCUGUCAGCCAACAGGCCCCAGAAGGUCAGGUGUCCCCCAGGCCACUGGGCACUACUGGGUUGUUAACCUGCACCUCCCAUGCGACAAAUGGUGCUAAGCAUUGGGGACAUGGCAGUGAACAAUGACAGCUCUUCCCCAACAUGGGCCACACAUAUCACGUCCCGGAAUAUGUGCUCUUGUGGCCGCCCCUGAUCAGAUACAUCAGGAGACAGUGGACUCCCAGGUGCAGGGAGGGUCAGGGCUGAGGUGGAAGUGGGCAGGGGCAGUCGUGUGCUGCUUGGCUCCGGUGACACCUGGCCCAGCACCUGGUGGGUGAGGAGAGGCAAGUGAGAUGCUGUGUCCUCAGUUGUCCUCCUCUCCACCUGGGAGGCAUGUAAUUCCCAGAAACCUCAGCAGGGGCUGACUCCGCACUGGCCAGAGCCGGCCCUACGCCACCCAGGAACCAACUGUGGCCCAAGGAAAGGGGUUUCCGUGAGGCUUGAGUGUGUCAUGGCUCCCCUGCAGUUCUGGGGCUACCUUCCCUGGGCACGUUCCACCCAGUUCCUGAGCAAAGCAAAGAGGCAAUGGCCACUGGGUCACCAUCUACCAUGAAGUCGGAUUGCUCCCAUGGGUUGGGUGGGUGUGAAGCUCGGCAUCACCAGGGAGCUGUCGGGAGAGAUGCUCACCCCAGUUCCCGCCUGCUGAGCUGUGGCUUUUGGGGAGGUGGUUUGAGCAUUUGUAGUUUCCAAGGCCCCCAGAGCAGCUGUCCUGUGGCCGUUAUCUGCCGCCACCGCACUAAACAAAGCACCUCCAUUUCAACAUCUCUGGGGAAGAGGAUUCCAGAGAACACACUUCAGGGAAACGCACAAUUUUACACGCCCAGCUAGCAGCCCUUUGCCCUUUAGUGAGAAAGGGUUGAGCUGUCCUUUUUCCUUCCUUUUAAAAAACAUUUGGGCUGCGAGCGGUACCUCACGCCUGUAUUCCCAGCAUUUUGGAAGGCCGAGGCAGGGGGAUCACUUGAGGUCAGGAAUUUGAGACCAGUCUGGCCAACAUGGUGAAGCUCUGUCUCUACCAAAAAAUACAAAAAUUAGCCAGGUGUGGCGGCGCACGCCUGUAAUCCCAGCUACUUGGGAGACUGAGGUGGGAGAAAUGCUUGAACCUGAGAGGCAGAGGUUGCAGUCAUCUGAGAUUGUGCCACUGCACUCCAGCCUGGGUGACAGUGGGACAUCCUGUCUCUUAAAAAAAAAAAAAAAAAAAGCAAGAUGUGUUUCCCCCAUCCCCCAAGGACCAGUGUUUGCCCGUCUGUGGGUAGCAGCACUGCACUGACAAUGUGGGACUUUGGCCCGAUGCCCUGAGAUCCAUCCGCGGUGUGACUGCAGAGCAGGAUUCACAGGGUGGAGGCGCCACAAUGGAUCUGUGUCCCCGGAAAGAAUAUUUGCAGUUUCCAGUUGGACACUUUAUGAAUAAAAUCACUAUAAACA
Molecule: long non-coding RNA, 1886 nt
Filed under: Macaca fascicularis (crab-eating macaque)
Lineage: Eukaryota; Metazoa; Chordata; Mammalia; Primates; Cercopithecidae
Description: lncRNA (ENSMFAG00000058120.1)
Source: RNAcentral